RNAcentral lists this non-coding RNA (211 nucleotides) under Candidatus Collierbacteria bacterium GW2011_GWA1_42_60. RNAcentral's name for it is "self-splicing intron". It matches the Rfam family "Group I catalytic intron". From Rfam's summary of the family: Group I catalytic introns are large self-splicing ribozymes. Lineage: Bacteria; Candidatus Collieribacteriota. RNAcentral also lists the same sequence under 2 other names. The record is from RNAcentral.
CUAUAACUGUCGACUAUAGGGCAGUUAAUAAAUUUGGCUAUAUGCUGGAACAACUCAUGUAUCCGACAGUACUCGAAAGAGUGAAAAUCUGUUCGGUGGAGUCAAUCAGCAGGAAAGAUUUCAACUUCAGUUGAAAAAUCCUCAGAGACUAUACGCCAAACGCAGAUUUAAGUCUGUGAUGAUAUAGUCCGAACUUUAUGGCGACAUAAAG